AAACGAGACCCUGUUGCAAAGUCGCUAUCACUGUAUGUUUCAUGAUCUUCAUGUUCUGAGUCUGAGUGAGAUGAUGAGCUAUCACUCGAGUCAAGGGAAGUUUUGUACAACUCAAGAAUAUCACAUCUACAUUCAUUACAUGGGGUAUUGCAUGUCCAUGAGUCUCUGCAGUCACAGAGACACUUGCAAGAUAUGGCACAGUUGUCCAUAGCACUCAUGACUUCAGUAAGCUCAACUCGUCGACAUACGUUGGUUCUGACAUACUGUUUCAUUUCAUCCGAAAUAUUCCGCCUGCCACUGAGACAUUGUCUAAAUUUCAUGAGAAGAGCAUGUGCCUGCUUUUCUGGAUCCCUGCCUGCUCCGUCCUUGUCUCUUGAAUAUAAUCCUCAACAUUAUUGGCUGGACCAUAGUGGAUGACGGUUUCCACACUUUCUUAGCAUUGUGUAUACACAACGUAAUUAACGGAUUCUGACAUCAGCCACAUAUCUCGGACCACCCCACGAGUCUCUCUUAACCGUUCAAUUAACGUUCCGCUUGGUGUUGCCACACCUGUCCGCCAUCUGCUGUUGAGAUACUGUAACGGUUCUCGUCUGAAAAGAGGACUUCCCCCACUGCUGGUGCUGUGCUACCCACUGAAGACGGUCCAGGAAACAAAGAAGAAGACUGAAAGGAUACCACUGGGAGUGCUUCAGUGAGGACCUCAGUGACCGUUCUCCAUCACAGUAGGUGCUCAGCGGAGGGGACUACCUCACCCUUGAGAGGCAGAAACAAGCCAAUCAUGCACUUACGAGAUGGACCUACACCAAGUUCCAGAUUACAAGGACUUGUUCCAAAGAUGGAAGAGUUCCAUAACGAAGCUGAAUUUCUAAAGGUUAUAUGGAAACACUUGUACUCGUCCUCCUCUAACAAGUCUGUUUGGCACUCUGCAUGCUGCAAAGGAGCACAAUAAAUGCGGUGAAUGUUACUCAGGAUCCUCAUGACAACUUUUACCCAUGCUCUGAAUUCAUGGACAAGGUCACCACCGCCUACAUCGUAACUGGGGGACUACAUUACUUCCAAAUGGAACACCUCACUUCUGUCCCAACGUCAAGUUACAUGGGUGCUGUUGGCAAUCCAUAUAAAAUGAUUGAUUAUUUUCUAGGUCAUGCAGCAAAACAGUUUGUAGACAAGCACGUCUUACCGGAGGUUCCUCAACAGCCAGGUCAUGGUCUCCAAAUCAAACACACUAGCCUGCAGGUACUGUGGAAAACUGUACCAGAGACCAAAAGCUCUCCGCAAACACGAAGCAUCCGGAAUAUAAUGCUGAAAACAAUCAGGAUUCCACAUCUUCAGCAGAAUCAAGAUCAUCUUUUUAUCAGUACACCCGUCUGUCUCUCGAAUAAAUCACAACGAUUCCAUUCACAUGGGAGAUGGUGGCAGGCAUGAUGAGACUAGUAAAGUGGUUCUGUUUAUACUACAAGGCAAGCAAAUGUCCAAAGUAUGCAUAUGGUCUCCUUUGAAACACAGGCAAAGGCAUAUGCUCUCCUAUAUGAACGGCAGGCUUUAUAGAUUGAUAUGGAACCGCACAGUCAACCAUCAAGGCAGAGAAGACACCAAUCAUCCCAUCGACCUUGACUUGGAGCAUUGCAACAGGGCUUUCAAAGAUGAUGUACACACAUACAAGGGGAGGUACACAGAUAAAAGACGAUUCUCAAAGUCAGCAGAAGUGCGCUGUCAAUGGAAGAAUUAUGCCAAAAAUACGACAAAUUGGCAUUCCGCAAGAAAAGUUCGGGAAGGCAUGGAGUUGUUGAUCCUUCUUGGUGAUAUUCUUAAACUUGUAGAACAAUUCCAUUCC
Molecule: long non-coding RNA, 1834 nt
Organism: Haliotis rufescens (red abalone)
Lineage: Eukaryota; Metazoa; Mollusca; Gastropoda; Lepetellida; Haliotidae
Exons: 4
Source: RefSeq, a predicted model, not a curated record